GCGUAACGCGUGGGAAUCUGCCCUUGGGUUCGGAAUAACUUCGGGAAACUGAAGCUAAUACCGGAUGAUGACGAAAGUCCAAAGAUUUAUCGCCCAGGGAUGAGCCCGCGUAGGAUUAGCUAGUUGGUGGGGUAAAGGCCUACCAAGGCGACGAUCCUUAGCUGGUCUGAGAGGAUGAUCAGCCACACUGGGACUGAGACACGGCCCAGACUCCUACGGGAGGCAGCAGUAGGGAAUAUUGGACAAUGGGCGAAAGCCUGAUCCAGCAAUGCCGCGUGAGUGAUGAAGGCCUUAGGGUUGUAA
This 303-nucleotide ribosomal RNA is filed under the name uncultured Sphingomonas sp. RNAcentral's name for it is "bacterial SSU rRNA". It matches the Rfam family "Bacterial small subunit ribosomal RNA", at positions 108 to 428 of the family's 1533-position model. Lineage: Bacteria; Pseudomonadati; Pseudomonadota; Alphaproteobacteria; Sphingomonadales; Sphingomonadaceae. The record is from RNAcentral.